This 506-nucleotide ribosomal RNA is filed under the name uncultured bacterium. Its description in RNAcentral is "partial 16S ribosomal RNA". It matches the Rfam family "Bacterial small subunit ribosomal RNA", at positions 29 to 523 of the family's 1533-position model. The record is from RNAcentral.
AGUGAACGCUGGCGGUAGGCCUAACACAUGCAAGUCGAACGGCAGCACAGGAGAGCUUGCUCUCUAGGUGGCGAGUGGCGGACGGGUGAGGAAUACAUCGGAAUCUACUCUGUCGUGGGGGAUAACGUAGGGAAACUUACGCUAAUACCGCAUACGACCUACGGGUGAAAGCAGGGGACCUUCGGGCCUUGCGCGAUUGAAUGAGCCGAUGUCGGAUUAGCUAGUUGGCGGGGUAAAGGCCCACCAAGGCGACGAUCCGUAGCUGGUCUGAGAGGAUGGUCAGACACACUGGAACUGAGACACGGUCCAGACUCCAACGGGAGGCAGCAGUGGGGAAUAUUGGACAAUGGGCGCAAGCCUGAUCCAGCCAUACCGCGUGGGUGAAGAAGGCCUUCGGGUUGUAAAGCCCUUUUGUUGGGAAAGAAAUCCAGCUGGCUAAUACCCGGUUGGGAUGACGGUACCCAAAGAAUAAGCACCGGCUAACUUCGUGCCAGCCGCCGCCGUAA